UGCAUCAGGCGAUGAAGGACGUGAUACGCUGCGAUAAGCGUCGGGGAGGUGCGAAUACCCUUUGAUCCGACGAUUUCCGAAUGGGGCAACCCACCUUAGAUAACUAGAAAAUUUGAGCUGUUGGAGCUUUGGUUUUGUUUUGAUGCGGCUUGUAUCGAAGCGAAGCUUCGCAAGCGCGACUGCGCGUCGGCCCAUGUGGGCCGCCCCCGCGGAGCGCCAGCAUUCUGCAAGAAUGCGGUACGGCGCGUGAGCGAGAAAAUCCUGCGAGAACAUCUCAUCUUUCUAGUUAUCGUAAUAAGGUAUCUAACUCUGAAUACAUAGGGGUUAGAAGCGAACCUGGGGAACUGAAACAUCUAAGUACCCAGAGGAAAGGACAUCAAACGAGACUCCGCUAGUAGUGGCGAGCGAACGCGGACCAG
This 419-nucleotide ribosomal RNA is filed under the name Brucella intermedia M86. RNAcentral describes it as "bacterial LSU rRNA". It matches the Rfam family "Bacterial large subunit ribosomal RNA", at positions 44 to 267 of the family's 2925-position model. Lineage: Bacteria; Pseudomonadati; Pseudomonadota; Alphaproteobacteria; Hyphomicrobiales; Brucellaceae. The record is from RNAcentral.